AAGUCGUAACAAGGUUUCCGUAGGUGAACCUGCGGAAGGAUCAUUAACGAGUUAGGGUCUUCCAGGCCCGACCUCCCAACCCUCUGUUUAUUGAACCUUUGUUGCUUCGGCGGACCCGUCUUUACGGCCGCCGGAGGAUCGUCGACAGGCGUCCUCUGGCCCGCGUCCGCCGAUGGCCAACCCCAUUAAAUUCUGAAAUGAAUCGUGUCUCUGUCUAAGUCCUUGAUUAAAAUCAAAACAAAACUUUCAACAACGGAUCUCUUGGUUCUG
RNAcentral lists this unclassified non-coding RNA (270 nucleotides) under Cladophialophora sp. RNAcentral's name for it is "partial internal transcribed spacer region". The stretch from base 1 to 46 matches the Rfam family "Eukaryotic small subunit ribosomal RNA", at positions 1786 to 1831 of the family's 1831-position model. Lineage: Eukaryota; Fungi; Ascomycota; Eurotiomycetes; Chaetothyriales; Herpotrichiellaceae. The record is from RNAcentral.